GGCUCGGUGAGGCCUUCGGACUGGCCCAGGGAGGUCGGCAACGACCACCCAGGGCCGGAAAGUUGGUCAAACCCGGUCAUUUAGAGGAAGUAAAAGUCGUAACAAGGUCUCCGUAGGUGAACCUGCGGAGGGAUCAUUA
RNAcentral lists this ribosomal RNA (139 nucleotides) under Cladosporium ramotenellum. RNAcentral's name for it is "partial 18S ribosomal RNA". It matches the Rfam family "Eukaryotic small subunit ribosomal RNA", at positions 1695 to 1831 of the family's 1831-position model. Lineage: Eukaryota; Fungi; Ascomycota; Dothideomycetes; Cladosporiales; Cladosporiaceae. The record is from RNAcentral.